AUUGAACGCUGGCGGCAGGCCUAACACAUGCAAGUCGAACGGUGGCACAGAGAGCUUGCUCUCGGGUGACGAGUGGCGGACGGGUGAGUAACGUCUGGGAAACUGCCCGAUGGAGGGGGAUAACUACUGGAAACGGUAGCUAAUACCGCAUAACGUCGCAAGACCAAAGUGGGGGACCUUCGGGCCUCACACCAUCGGAUGUGCCCAGAUGGGAUUAGCUAGUAGGUGGGGUAAUGGCUCACCUAGGCGACGAUCCCUAGCUGGUCUGAGAGGAUGACCCGCCACACUGGAACCGAGACACGGUCCAGACUCCUACGGGAGGCAGCAGUGGGGAAUAUUGCACAAUGGGCGCAAGCCUGAUGCAGCCAUGCCGCGUGUAUGAAGAAGGCCUUCGGGUUGUAAAGUACUUUCAGCGGGGAGGAAGGCGGUGAAGUUAAUAGCUUCACCGAUUGACGUUACCCGCAGAAGAAGCACCGGCUAACUCCGUGCCAGCAGCCGCCGUAA
This 504-nucleotide ribosomal RNA is filed under the name uncultured bacterium. Its description in RNAcentral is "partial 16S ribosomal RNA". It matches the Rfam family "Bacterial small subunit ribosomal RNA", at positions 29 to 523 of the family's 1533-position model. The record is from RNAcentral.